This 1235-nucleotide long non-coding RNA is filed under the name Capsella rubella. Its description in RNAcentral is "long non-coding RNA (CRUB_LNC001253)". Lineage: Eukaryota; Viridiplantae; Streptophyta; Magnoliopsida; Brassicales; Brassicaceae. The record is from RNAcentral.
UUUAGUAGUAUUGUUUGAUCCGCCAAAAGAAAGGAGGUGGAAGUAAAAACAAUAAUCUUCUCAAUUUCUUCUUCUUUUCAUUUACCAUCAUCAUCAUCAUCGAUGUUCUCUUUGAUUUGUUUGUGAGCACUACCGUAUGAUAUGGUCCAAUCAAAUUACAAUGUUCGUGGAGAUUGUCAUCAGGCUACCCGCCAAAAUGAUGAGGUGAGUGCAAAAGUGAACCAAAACAUGUUCUGGAUCGUCAAUUCAGGGUUUUUAAUAAUCGUCUGAUCUUCUUCCUUUCUUUUUUUUUUUUUUUUUUUUUUGGGUUUUUAUAUGAUAUGUGUAAGAAUGGAUCGGUACUAUAUGUAACUCACACUGAUUGAUUUAGAUUAGCGCGGAAGUAGAGGAUUCUUACAUAAUCGUUACACAAAAAUAAGUAAAUACAUUUAUAUAUAGCUUCGCUUAGAUGUUCUUUGUGAGUGGGUUUGGAACCAUAUCGAACUCAGAAGACCCUGCAACAUAUUAAAAAGCCAUAUGAAUUGACUACUACAAAAGACUACAAAUAGGUAUAUUACGUUAUCAUUUCUUUGAUAUAAUUCUAAACGUAAGCUAUAGUCUAAAUUAUAAGUACUCCAAUGUCUAUGUAUGUGGAGUAGUUUUUGCAAUGGUAAGGACAAGAGACAUGGAACAUGCUAUCAUUAUGUGGGACUUUGAUUUUUCUUGGCUAAAAGACAGAUAAAAAGAUGGAUGCAAGCUUUUCAUAAGGAAAUAGUUUUUUUUGGUUGAAUAAAUAGGAAAUAGCUUUUUUGGUUGAAUAAAUAUAAGAGAUAAUGGCUUAUGAUCAGUUUUUCAAGAACUCGACAAAACUAACUCUUGUAUUCUCUGUUACAAGAUUGUUUUUGGCCCCACAUUUAGAAGUUGGGACAGUUCAUAGAUAUGGAAAACAGUGGUGUGUACUAUAUAGAUCAUUAAGUAAGAAGACAUCUACACAUAAAGAAACGUGUGGAGGCUGCAUGUCUAUUUAUGAAUGCUUUCUUAUGCAUAAUUGUUGUGUUUACCUUUUAGAGUUCCUUAAAUACUUUCAGUGGUUGUUUCCAUUUGAAUAGUAAUUGGGAUGUGGAUAACGCCCUGACUCAAUGUCAUUGACAUCCCUAAUGAGGAGCUCAUAGUGUCGCCUUACUUCUUCGGCUGACUUGCCACCAACUGCUCUGGCGACGUUAUGCCAACGGUCAGGAGUGUCCUGGUCAUAUAUU